Long non-coding RNA from Homo sapiens (human), 3251 nucleotides. RefSeq lists it as uncharacterized. The record is from RefSeq and is a predicted model, not a curated record. The transcript has 2 exons. NCBI's taxonomy places the organism in Eukaryota, Metazoa, Chordata, Mammalia, Primates, Hominidae.
AAGCCCCGCCUGGCCCCCCUUCCACACUGGAAGCCUCUCUGUGGCUGAUGGGAGGACCAGGGCUGAUGAAAGGAUGGAGCCAUGAAGGGCAGCCCUCCUGCUGCGGGUCGCCCUGCUGCUGCCCUGGGCCUGCAGCUCCUGGCACGUGGGUCUCUGGGACUCCUUGUGGAUGUGCCUCUCCAGGGCCCUCCAUCCUCGGUGGGCAGGAGACUCCCCUAGGGAGCUUGCUCUCAAGUUCUCAAUAGCAUACACACGGCUGCCACAAAUACACAGAAGUUUUGGGAAUUAGCUCUGUGAGACAGGCCUAUUUCAGAUAAGAAAAAUGAGGAUCAGAGAAGCUGAAAGUCUUGCGGAGGACACCCCAGCAAGGCGAAUUACAGGCCCAGAAUUCUAACGAGGGCAUCCGGACUCUGGGAUUACAACCGCCUUCUGCGUCCCAGGAAAAACCUCCUCUAGUCAUGCCCAGAUCUGCCUGGUCUAAAAACCACAAAAAUCGCAGGACUUUCCACUGAGUCAAUGCUUGUCACGUCUAGAGACCUGGAUCGAGCUGUUUCCUUCCAUUCACAGAGCCGUCCUGCAGGAGAGAUGUUACUUUUACCAUCAAUGUAAAAACUGAGCCUUAAACUGCUUCAGAAACUGUUUAGAUUCAUUCAACUGAAUAUUCACACUGGAGUUUGAAUCAAGGCCUACGUGGCUUUAGAAAUUUAAGAUCCAAACCGUACCACUGUUGUACCUGACAUCCUUCAUGCACCUCCCUCAUCUUCAGAGAAACAAUUCUAAUUCUUCACUUUAAAGCAAGGUAGUGUGACUUUCCAAUGACUUCAGGGCAUUCGGUAAAGAACAGCUUGGUUCAAAGUAAGUUGAUGAGCACAGCAAUUUCUUCAUAAUGGCAACCUGGUUAAAAAAAAAUAAAAUAAACCCAUACCUGGCUUUGGGAAGGAAGUUGUUUGUUUUAAUGUUUUGUAUUUGGACUUGCAUCACAUAGAGUGGUGAUUUUUUUCAACAUUUUGUGUGUCACUUAACAUUUUUAAAAAUAAAGUCUUACAAGCUGUGAAACAAUGUGAACAUCCUGAUCCUAUCUCUGUAAAAUAUGAUGGGUGCACAUUGAUAGACGAGGGUGUGGAAAGUUACAUCUGAAGGUGGCAACAGGAGUUGCCUCUGCAUGUGUGGAAUUAGAAGGAUUGUUGAUUUCAUUUAUUUAUCUGAAUAUACGAUAGAGAAAGUUCAAGUAGCACAGAUGGCUGCACAAUGAAGAGGAAUUUCACCUCUUACACUCAUUCUCAGUCCACUCGCCAAAGGCAAUUACAUGGAUAUGUAUUCUUCCUGAAAUAUUCUUUUCAUACACAAUCGUGUAUAAAAUCGUGUAUGAAAAAAAGUCUGCUCAUCAUGUAGUGUGUGUUUAUAUAUAAAUGUACUUAUUUAUAUAGUUAUGGGUAUUCUUCAUGGUCUUUUUCCAUAUCUGAGUUUUCCAACUUUUUAUCAUUAUACAUUUCUUUUUUUUCUUUAAGUUCUGGGAUACAUGUGCAGAAUGUGCAGGUUUGUUACAUAGGUAUACAUGUGUCAUGGUGGUUUGCUGCACCCAUCAGCCCGUCAUCUAGGUUUUAAGCCCAGCAUGCAUUAGGUAUUUGUCCUAACGUUCUCCUUCCCCUUGGCCCCCACCCCGCCGAGAGGCCCUGGUGUGUGAUGUAAACAUAUGGAACGCUUCACGAAUGUGCGUGCCAUCCUUGCGCAGGAGCCAUGCUAAUCUUCUCUGUGUUGUUCCGGUUUUAGGAUAUGUGCUGGCGAAGUGAGCACUAUACAUUACUUUUUAAUAGAAGUUUUUGAAAGGUCCAAAGGAUUUGGGGAAACCUUGAAAACCAUGAGAGUUACCAUAUUCCUCAAUUUUCACAUUAAUUACGUCUGCUCCAUUUAUUUGUGCUAUUUGGUCAUCUUUUUCAGCAUGUUUUAGAAUCUGUAAGUUUUUUGUAAUUCAAUGUUUUGUGCCACAAGAUAACAUUUUGAUACAAUAUUUGUAAUUUUUGCAUUGGCAUAUGUCAGUUUGUGUAUCUACUGUAUUCGUCCAGAGACCUAUUAUGAGGUGCAACGGGUUUUUGUUGGUGUUUUUUCCUUUUUGUUAUUGUGAACAACACAGGAAGAGAAAAAUGGGUUGGCUGAAAAUGGAUUUGGGGUGAAAAGGCAGGGGGAAAAUGUGAAGAAUUUUGAAAAAAACAUACAAAAGUGCUUAGAGGUAAAAUAGAUUAUAAAACCAGCCCUUGUUGUAUUAAAACUAAUGCACGAGCUGGGCGCGGUGGCUCACGCCUGUAAUCCCAGCACUUUGGGAGGCCGAGGUGGGUAGAUUACCUGCAGUCAGGAGUUCGAGACCAGCCUGGCCAAUAUGGUGAAACUCCAUCUCUACUAAAAAUACAAAAAUUAGCCAGGCAUGGUGGCAUUUGCAUGUAGUCCCAGCUAGUCGGGAGGGUGAGGCAGGAGAAUCGCUUGAACCCAGGAGGUGGAGGUUGCAGUGAGCUGAGAUUGCACCACUGCACUCCAGCCUGGGUGACAGAGUGAGACUCUGUCUCAAAAAUAAUAAUAAAACUAAUGCAUGAGACUAGAUGGUGAUGAUUGAGAGUCCUUGUUGACCAAAUUGUUUGUUUUCUUCUCCAGAAGUCCCAGAGCAUAGCUAUGUGGUUGGAGAGCCUAAUCAAAACUACUGUCCCAAAGGCUGUAGUCCCAGCCCUUUCAGAGGCCAAGUCAGGAAAAUUGCUUGAGCCCAGAAGUUCAAAAUUGCAGUGAGCUAUGAUUGCACCACUGCACUUCAGCCUGGGCAACAGAGCAAGACCCUGACUCUUAAAAAAAAGAAGUCUGUUCAUCAAAAGGUGCCAUAAGUGCUUUUUGCCUAGUGCCAGCGGGCUGCACCUCAGUAGGCUAUAGGAGUAACUUGUUCCUGCCCCUUCCCCUCCCAAACAACCUUUCUUUCCUAGGGUGACAGUAGGGGGGCCUCUGGUUUGCCAGAAAAAGAACAAAAGCACAUGGUACCAGCUGGGUAUUAUCAGCUGGGGUGUGGGCUGUGGCCAGAAGAACAUGCCUGGAGUGUACACCGAGUUGUCCAAUUAUCUGCUUUGGAUCGAGAGGAAGACUGUGCUGGCAGGGAAGCCGUAUAAGUAUGAGCCAGACUCUGUGUACGCUUUGCUUCUCUCACCCUGGGCCAUCCUGUUACUGUAUUUUGUGAUGCUUCUAUUAUCCUGGUGAUUAAACACCACGUUGUCUCAAAA